ACCGAAGGAAGGGCGAGCGGGCCCGGACGCGCGGGGCAGCGACUGGGGACG
This 51-nucleotide ribosomal RNA is filed under the name uncultured bacterium. RNAcentral's name for it is "partial 16S ribosomal RNA". The record is from RNAcentral.